GGGAGCAUAGCUCAGCUGGUCAGAGCGCACGGUUCACAUCCGUGAGGUCACAGGUUCGAUCCCUGCUGUUCCCACCA
RNAcentral lists this transfer RNA (77 nucleotides) under Clostridiales bacterium. RNAcentral describes it as "tRNA-Val". It matches the Rfam family "tRNA". From Rfam's summary of the family: Transfer RNA (tRNA) molecules are approximately 80 nucleotides in length. RNAcentral also lists the same sequence under 1 other name. Lineage: Bacteria; Bacillati; Bacillota; Clostridia; Eubacteriales. The record is from RNAcentral.